AUUGAACGCUGGCGGCAUGCCUUACACAUGCAAGUCGAACGGCAGCACGGGUGCUUGCACCUGGUGGCGAGUGGCGAACGGGUGAGUAAUACAUCGGAACAUGUCCUGUAGUGGGGGAUAGCCCGGCGAAAGCCGGAUUAAUACCGCAUACGAUCUACGGAUGAAAGCGGGGGACCUUCGGGCCUCGCGCUAUAGGGUUGGCCGAUGGCUGAUUAGCUAGUUGGUGGGGUAAAGGCCUACCAAGGCGACGAUCAGUAGCUGGUCUGAGAGGACGACCAGCCACACUGGGACUGAGACACGGCCCAGACUCCUACGGGAGGCAGCAGUGGGGAAUUUUGGACAAUGGGCGAAAGCCUGAUCAGCAAUGCCGCGUGUGUGAAGAAGGCCUUCGGGUUGUAAAGCACUUUUGUCCGGAAAGAAAUCCUUGGCCCUAAUACGGUCGGGGGAUGACGGUACCGGAAGAAUAAGCACCGGCUAACUACGUG
RNAcentral lists this ribosomal RNA (485 nucleotides) under uncultured bacterium. RNAcentral describes it as "partial 16S ribosomal RNA". It matches the Rfam family "Bacterial small subunit ribosomal RNA", at positions 30 to 507 of the family's 1533-position model. The record is from RNAcentral.